Molecule: unclassified non-coding RNA, 375 nt
Filed under: soil metagenome
Description: partial contains 5.8S ribosomal RNA, internal transcribed spacer 2, and large subunit ribosomal RNA
Rfam family: 5.8S ribosomal RNA (bases 1-120)
Source: RNAcentral
GAUGAAGAACGUAGCGAAAUGCGAUAAGUAAUGUGAAUUGCAGAAUUCAGUGAAUCAUCGAAUCUUUGAACGCACAUUGCGCCCGCCAGUAUUCUGGCGGGCAUGCCUGUUCGAGCGUCAUUUCAACCCUCAAGAACCCUUCGGGGGACUUGGUGUUGGGGACCGGCACAGGGGCCUGCCUGCUUGUCUUGCAGCGCCCUCGCCGCCCCCGAAAUGAAUUGGCGGCCUCGUCGCGGCCGCCCCUGCGUAGUAGCACAAACCUCGCACCGGGAACGUGACGGCGGCCACUGCCGUAAAACAACCCAAUUUUAUUAGAGUUGACCUCGAAUCAGGUAGGAAUACCCGCUGAACUUAAGCAUAUCAAUAAGCGGAGGA